UGGGGAAUAUUGCACAAUGGGGGAAACCCUGAUGCAGCGACGCCGCGUGAACGAAGAAGGUAUUCGUAUCGUAAAGUUCUGUCCUAUGGGAAGAUAAUGACAGUACCAUAGAAGAAAGCUCCGGCUAAAUACGUGCCAGCAGCCGCGGUAAUACGUAUGGAGCGAGCGUUGUCCGGAAUUAUUGGGCGUAAAGGGUACGCAGGCGGUUUAAUAAGUCGAAUGUUAAAGAUCGGGGCUCAACCCCGCAAAGCAUUGGAAACUGAUAAACUUGAGUAGUGGAGAGGAAAGUGUAAUUCCUAGUGUAGUGGUGAAAUACGUAGAUAUUAGGAGGAAUACCAGUAGCGAAGGCGACUUUCUGGACACAAACUGACGCUGAGGUACGAAAGCGUGGGGAGCAAACAGG
RNAcentral lists this ribosomal RNA (403 nucleotides) under bacterium. RNAcentral describes it as "partial 16S ribosomal RNA". It matches the Rfam family "Bacterial small subunit ribosomal RNA", at positions 355 to 776 of the family's 1533-position model. The record is from RNAcentral.